Molecule: transfer RNA, 75 nt
Filed under: Candidatus Aenigmatarchaeota archaeon
Lineage: Archaea; Nanobdellati; Candidatus Aenigmatarchaeota
Description: tRNA-Ile
Rfam family: tRNA
About the family: Transfer RNA (tRNA) molecules are approximately 80 nucleotides in length. Their secondary structure includes four short double-helical elements and three loops (D, anti-codon, and T loops).
Source: RNAcentral
GGGCGGGUAGCUUAGUUUGGUUAGAGCGCCAGUCUUAUAUACUGGAGGUCGUGAGUUCAAAUCUCACCUCGCCCA